AAAAAAAUGGAUGGAGCAACCAGGAUAGCAGAACAAAACGAUGGAAAUAAUGUGUUGAAUAAGACCUGAUGAAUAUGCAUCAAGGAGACUGGGGCAAACCACCAGGUCAGCAGUGGUGUGAGAACAAAGGGAAGAAAGAGAAGACGGCUCUGAGCAAUGCUAAGUCCUCACCACUCCAAACAAAGCCCCCCCACUGGGAGUAAAGAAAUUAACUGGUGGAUCUGAGAACAGCAAUCCAAACUGAUUGGAUUCCCAGCAAAUAGUCUCUGAGAUGGAGUUUAGUGUUUAGGAUAUUAACUAUGGAGUGCCUUUGGAGUCAAUACAAGAGGGAGAGAAGGAAAGAAAACUGUGAAGAACAAGAAGUCAAUUUGCGGCAGCCACCACAGCUUAACUUAUGCAGCAGCAGCCCUGGACCUCAUUUUAUUUCCAGGAAUUGGGUCAGUACGGUGAGAAAUGGAAAUGAAAUUCGAAGCUCCUCAGCUAACUGAAUGGACCCAUCUUGGCCAAUGGGACUCCAGAGCAACCUUGAAAACUGAGAUUUUGGCCCUGAUGAGUAGGAGGUCAGACAUGUUGUUAUAUCCCCUCCCUCCCUAACUGUCAUUAGGCUUUCAUUCCUAAGGGCUAAACAGAAAGCAGCUCUUUUUUUUUUUAAAUGAAGAAGUUUAUUUGACUCACAGUUCUGGCAGAAAGCAUGGCUGGGAGGCCUCAGGAAACUUGCAAUUAUGGUGGAAGGUGAAGGGGAAGCAAGCAUGUCUCACCAUGGUGGAGCAGGAGAGACAGAGCAAAGGGGAAAGUGCUACACACUUUUUUUUGAGACAGGGUCUUGCUCUGUUGCUCAGGUUGAAGUGUAGGGGCGCAAUUUCAGCUCACCGCAACCCCCACCUCCUGGGCUCAAGCAGUGCUCCCACCUCAGCCUCCCCAGUAGCUGGGACUACAGGCAGGUGCCACUACACCUGGGUAAUUUUUGUAGAGAUGGAGUUUCGCCAUGUUGCCCAGGCUGGUUUCAAACUCCUGAGCUCAAGCCAUCUGCCCACCUUGGCCUCCCAAAGUGCUGGGAUUAUAGGCAUGAGCCACUGCACCCACCCAUGCUAGACACUUUUAAACAAGAUCUUAUGAGAACUCACUAUCGUGAGAACAGGAAGGGAGAAACCUGCCCCCACGAUCUAAUCACCUCCCACUAGGUCACUCCCUCAACAUCGGGAAUUAUAACAUGAGACUUGGGUGGGGACACAGAAUCAAACCAUAUCACUGUCAUAGGAUCCUAAAUAUUGUUUCUGACCAAGGAACUCAUUUGCUGUGAGAUUAAUGAGAGGAUAAACAGAAAGCAGGUCUUUCAAAAGACUCCUUGGCUGCUAUCAGGCCUACAUCAACCAACUGCCUGAUGCUGCUCCUCCCUUCUGCAGUUUCCAUGCAACAAUUGAUCAGCAUUUCUUCCUGAUAAGAGACCACCCAUGGAGUGGUUCUGGCCAAGCCAAUCUAUAUGCAACUCAUGAAGGGGCAUGAAGUUCCAUUGCGCAUGUGCAUGUUUCUCCUUUCAAAGAUAUUCAUGACUCCUUCUACUUUAUUAAAUAUGUAUAUUCUACCACCCUGCUCAGCAUCAAUUCCUGUUCCCUUUGUCCUUCCCUUUAAGUGUCUGUUUCUGGCUUCUGGCCAGAGGCUAUGCUUUCCAGUCUGUCAGAAUGGCCACCCUGCAGGCUGCAAUGCUUUAUGAAAA
Molecule: long non-coding RNA, 1714 nt
Filed under: Homo sapiens (human)
Lineage: Eukaryota; Metazoa; Chordata; Mammalia; Primates; Hominidae
Description: HSALNT0064383
Source: RNAcentral